CCUACGGGGGGCAGCAGUGGGGAAUAUUGGGCAAUGGGGGAAACCCUGACGCAGCAACGCCGCGUGCAGGAAGAAGGUCUUCGGAUUGUAAACUGUUUUUCUAGGGGAAGAAGAAAGUGACGGUACCUUGUGAGUAAGUCUCGGCUAACUACGUGCCAGCAGCCGCGGUAAUACGUAGGUGGCAAGCGUUGUCCGGAUUUACUGGGUGUAAAGGGCGCGUAGGCGGGAUGACAAGUCAGUCGAGAAAUGCCGAAGCUUAACUUCGGAACUGCGAUUGAAACUGUUAUUCUUGAGUAUAGGAGAGGAAAGCGGAAUGCCUAGUGUAGCGGUGAAAUGCGUAGAUAUUAGGAGGAACACCAGUGGCGAAGGCGGCUUUCUGGACGACAACUGACGCUGAGGCGCGAAAGUGUGGGGAGCAAACAGGAUUAGAUACCCGAGUAGUC
Molecule: ribosomal RNA, 443 nt
Filed under: uncultured bacterium
Lineage: Bacteria
Description: partial 16S ribosomal RNA
Rfam family: Bacterial small subunit ribosomal RNA
Source: RNAcentral